RNAcentral lists this long non-coding RNA (944 nucleotides) under Populus trichocarpa (black cottonwood). RNAcentral describes it as "long non-coding RNA (PTRI_LNC004781)". Lineage: Eukaryota; Viridiplantae; Streptophyta; Magnoliopsida; Malpighiales; Salicaceae. The record is from RNAcentral.
AAAAUUACAAGAAUUACAAGGACCAAAUUGAAAGCAGCCUUUACAACUGGAAAACGGAGUCGUAUUGCAGCGACUGUUCACCGUCUUCUUGCUCUGCAACGGCUCCGCCAUUAAGGCAGAGACGUUUCAUCCGUUGGCAGCAACGCUUACGUUUGAUCAUGGAAGGCGACCAGUUACAGGGCAUUUAGGAGGCGACCGUUACAGCGCCAAUCGAUCUCUGGCCUUAUAAAAGCUGGGCAAAGGCAAACUCGCAGGGGGGCAGGACUGAGGGAGAAACAAAAGAACAGGAAGAAAACGAAACAGAAACAGGGAAAGAAAAACUGAGAAAAAAAACUGGGGGGGGAAGACAAGAGAGACCACGAGCAGCGGAGGAAGAAAGCAGCUAGCCCACCAGUCCUCCAUCACGUUUCCGUUUCUCUGCUUCCAGAGAGGAAGUAACACCGGGAACACAACAAGACGCAAGAACAGAAACUGUACAGAGGGGAGCAAGUUUUCUGCCCCUGUUCUUCUCACGGAAACAGAAGCGUUCGUGCCUCACGAUCGUGAGGCACGAACGCGUGAAGAAAGGCCAUUCUCUGGCCACAGCAGGGGAAACACGGAACCAAGGACAUACAGAGAGCAGAGAGAACCCGAAGAAAAACCAGGGGAAAGGAGACUAGACAGAGAAAGAAAAACAGAUAUAUAGAGAGAGAGGGAGAGACUUCUGAGAGCAGAAGAAAGCAAGAGAUAAAGAGAAAGAAGGGAGAGAACGUCGCCCGGUCAGCCCUCCAUCACCGUCAUCCUCAUCUCCCAGUGCAGCGCCAGCGUUAGAAGGGAGAGAACGUCACCCGGCCAGCCCUCCAUCACCGUCAUCGUCAUCUUCAAGGCGCCAGGUAAGUUGCUCUUUCCUUCCGUUUAUUUUAAUUACAUGCUCCUGUAAAAAAAUUAAAAAAUGGCUAGCCGGG